This 890-nucleotide long non-coding RNA is filed under the name Pongo abelii (Sumatran orangutan). Its description in RNAcentral is "lincRNA". Lineage: Eukaryota; Metazoa; Chordata; Mammalia; Primates; Hominidae. The record is from RNAcentral.
UGCAACCCAAGCUGUCCAUCAUGUACUGGGUCAUCUGACACACUGAUAAAAUCCCAUUACCAACUGGAAAUGGCUUAUGUGGGACUAGCUCCUAACCAGGAACAUCAUUGCUUCAACUGAUUCAUCAGCAGAAGAGUCUGUGCUGGCAACACAGGAACUGUGAUGGAUUCAAUCACUUAGGCUUUCCAUUAUCAAUGCAGACCCAGCCCCUGGGUGCACAGGGUUAUCAGUGACCACCCCUGAAUGCCGCAACUGACCAGACUCCAGGGACACCAUGGACUACUUAGUUGCAGACUGAUGACUUUGGACCUCUUCCGUUAUGGAAAGGGCAGUGAUUUCUUCUCCCUGAAACGGGCUCAUGUCUGACUUUGGAAUUGACCUCUCUGCCUGUAGAUCAUCAUGGCAUGCUCUACAAAAUUGCUUCUGACCACAGAAUUCACUUUACAGUGAAAGAGGGAAAGCAAUGGGUGAUACCCUUGUCAAUGGAUCCUGUCACCCAGAAGCAGUCAUCUGUAUUCAGCUGUGACAUGAUUUAUUGAAGAUUUCAUUUCAGGAGUGAGAGACGAUCAUACCUACGGAGAUUGAAAUAUUGUCCUUUAAGAUGCUUGUUUCUUCUGAACUAGGGAACAUCAUGUGGUGCUGUUUCUCCCACAGCCAGACUAAACAGGUCUGGAGGAAGGGGAAGUAGGCACGGUGCAACUUCCAUCUUACUUAAUGAAUCUCGCUUUCUCCAACUUUUUCUUCCACCGAUUAGCAAUUUUAUUCCCAGGAAAGGAAGGUUGCACCAUUGAGGCAGCUGGCCAUUGGGGUGGCUCCCUUUGGAAAGGGGAUAUAAAGUGUUUGUAUGAGUGAUGGUUCCAUUAAAGCAGACAUUUUUUAAAAACGUGAAA